AAUAUUUGGUAGAGACUGUGAGGCCACCUGGUCCCAGCAGAUCUCAGAGAACAACCACAUUCGCUGGUGCUGGAAGAAAGUCUUUAAGGGUGAAGCCAAGUGCCAGAUGCGU
Molecule: ribosomal RNA, 112 nt
Organism: Panthera pardus (leopard)
Lineage: Eukaryota; Metazoa; Chordata; Mammalia; Carnivora; Felidae
Source: Ensembl